This 1250-nucleotide ribosomal RNA is filed under the name Candidatus Phytoplasma trifolii. RNAcentral's name for it is "bacterial SSU rRNA". It matches the Rfam family "Bacterial small subunit ribosomal RNA", at positions 153 to 1399 of the family's 1533-position model. The record is from RNAcentral. Lineage: Bacteria; Bacillati; Mycoplasmatota; Mollicutes; Acholeplasmatales; Acholeplasmataceae. RNAcentral also lists the same sequence under 1 other name.
GAAACGACUGCUAAGACUGGAUAGGAAACAAAAAGGCAUCUUUUUGUUUUUAAAAGACCUUCUUAUGAAGGUAUGCUUAAAGAGGGGCUUGCGCCACAUUAGUUAGUUGGUAGGGUAAAAGCCUACCAAGACGAUGAUGUGUAGCUGGACUGAGAGGUUGAACAGCCACAUUGGGACUGAGACACGGCCCAAACUCCUACGGGAGGCAGCAGUAGGGAAUUUUCGGCAAUGGAGGAAACUCUGACCGAGCAACGCCGCGUGAACGAUGAAGUAUUUCGGUAUGUAAAGUUCUUUUAUUGAAGAAGAAAAAGUAGUGGAAAAACUAUAUUGACGUUAUUCAAUGAAUAAGCCCCGGCUAACUAUGUGCCAGCAGCCGCGGUAAGACAUAGGGGGCGAGCGUUAUCCGGAAUUAUUGGGCGUAAAGGGUGCGUAGGCUGUUAGAUAAGUCUAUAAUUUAAUUUCAGUGCUUAACGCUGUCUUGUUAUAGAAACUGUCUUGACUAGAGUGAGAUAGAGGCAAGCGGAAUUCCAUGUGUAGCGGUAAAAUGUGUAAAUAUAUGGAGGAACACCAGAAGCGUAGGCGGCUUGCUGGGUCUUUACUGACGCUGAGGCACGAAAGCGUGGGUAGCAAACAGGAUUAGAUACCCUGGUAGUCCACGCCGUAAACGAUGAGUACUAAGUGUCGGGGUAAAACUCGGUACUGAAGUUAACACAUUAAGUACUCCGCCUGAGUAGUACGUACGCAAGUAUGAAACUUAAAGGAAUUGACGGGACUCCGCACAAGCGGUGGAUCAUGUUGUUUAAUUCGAAGAUACACGAAAAAUCUUACCAGGUCUUGACAUACUCUGCAAAGCUAUAGAAAUAUAGUGGAGGUUAUCAGGGAUACAGGUGGUGCAUGGUUGUCGUCAGUUCGUGUCGUGAGAUGUUAGGUUAAGUCCUAAAACGAGCGCAACCCUUGUCGUUAAUUGCCAGCACGUAAUGGUGGGGACUUUAGCGAGACUGCCAAUUAAACAUUGGAGGAAGGUGAGGAUUACGUCAAAUCAUCAUGCCCCUUAUGAUCUGGGCUACAAACGUGAUACAAUGGCUGUGACAAAGAGUAGCUGAAACGCGAGUUUUUAGCCAAUCUCAAAAAAGCAGUCUCAGUUCGGAUUGAAGUCUGUAACUCGACUUCAUGAAGUUGGAAUCGCUAGUAAUCGCGAAUCAGCAUGUCGCGGUGAAUACGUUCACGGGGUUUGUACACACCGCCCGUCA